AACGCACAUUGCGCCCCCUGGUAUUCCGGGGGGCAUGCCUGUUCGAGCGUCAUUGCAACCCUCAAGCUCGGCUUGUGUGAUGGGCGACCGUCCUUCCCCUAGGGGCGGGACGCGUCCGAAAAGCAGUGGCUAGGCCGCGAUUCCGGCGCCUGAGCGAAUGGGACUUCCACCGCUUCUAGGACCGGCCGGUACUUGGCCUUUAAACACGGUCUUAACUGACCAUCUAGGUUGACCUCGGAUCAGGUAGGGAUACCCGCUGAACUUAA
This 266-nucleotide unclassified non-coding RNA is filed under the name uncultured Onygenales. RNAcentral's name for it is "sequence contains ITS2". The stretch from base 1 to 52 matches the Rfam family "5.8S ribosomal RNA", at positions 103 to 154 of the family's 154-position model. The record is from RNAcentral. Lineage: Eukaryota; Fungi; Ascomycota; Eurotiomycetes; Onygenales.